Molecule: ribosomal RNA, 380 nt
Filed under: uncultured eukaryote
Lineage: Eukaryota
Description: partial 18S ribosomal RNA
Rfam family: Eukaryotic small subunit ribosomal RNA
Source: RNAcentral
CAAUAGCGUAUAUUAAUGUUGUUGCAGUUAAAAAGCUCGUAGUUGGAUUUCUGGUGGGAGCGGCCGGUCCGCCGUAAGGUGUGUACUUGGUUGUCUCCUGUCAUCCUUGUGGGAACUGCUCUGGCAUUAAGUUGUCGGGGUUAGGGAACACAUCGUUUACUGUGAAAAAAUUAGAGUGUUUAAAGCAGGCUUAUACCGUUGAAUACAUUAGCAUGGAAUAAUAAGAUAGGACUUUGGCGUCUAUUUUGUUGGUUUGCACACCAAGGUAAUGAUUAAUAGGGAUAGUUGGGGGUAUUCGUAUUUAAUUGUCAGAGGUGAAAUUCUUGGAUUUAUGAAAGACGAACUUCUGCGAAAGCAUUUACCAAAGAUGUUUUCAUUAA